GCUGAAGGUGAGCGACCGCAGUGAGACAGCUGAAGGUGAGCGACCGCAGUGAGACAGCUGAAGGUGAGCGACCGCAGUGAGACAGCUGAAGGUAAGCGACCACAGUGAGACAGCUGAAGGUGAGCGACCACAGUGAGACAGCUGAAGGUGAGCGACCAGUGAGACAGCUGAAGGUGAGCGACCGCAGUGAGACAGCUGAAGGUGAGCGACCACAGUGAGGCAGCUGAAGGUGAGCGACCACAGUGAGACAGCUGAAGGUGAGCGACCACAGUGAGACAGCUGAAGGUGUGCGACCACAGUGAGACAGCUGAAGGUGAGCGACCAGUGAGACAGCUGAAGGUGAGCGACCACAGUGAGACAGCUGAAGGUGAGCGACCAGUGAGACAGCUGAAGGUGAGCGACCGCAGUGAGACAGCUGAAGGUGAGCGACCACAGUGAGACAGCUGAAGGUGAGCGACCACAGUGAGACAGCUGAAGGUGAGCGACCACAGUGAGACAGCUGAAGGUGAGCGUCUGUCAGCCAGACCUGGGUUCAAAUACUAUUUAGGGUAUUUCAAUUACUUUCAAAUACAUUUGGAAAGUUUUUUUAUUUUUUUUUAAAUACUAGAAUACACCAACUCAAAUAUAGUAUUUGAAAAUACUUUAAAAUUGUAGGCUAUUUUAAGGAAAUUGUGCAGAUUUCCUUUCACCUACUCUGUGUCUUUGUUACACGCAGAGUAGGUGAACGGAUGAUCUCCGCAUGUGUAGUUCCCACCGUGAAGCAUGGAGGAGGUGUGAUGGUGGGGCUAUCAUCUGUUUUUCCCCAGGACAAUGACCCAACACACCUCCAGGCUGUAAAAGGGCUAUUUGACCAAGGAGUGCUGCAUGAAAUGACCUGGCCUCCACAAUCACCCGACCUCAACCAAAUUGAGAUGAGUUGGACCGCAGAGUGAAGAAAAAUAAACCAACAAGUGCUCAGCAUAUGUGGGAGCUCCUUCAAGACUGUUGGAAAAGUAUUCCAGGUGAAGCUGGUUGAGAGAAUGCCAAGUGUGUUUAAAGCUGUCAUCAAGGCAAAGGGUGGCUACUUUGAAGAAUCUAAAAUAUAUUUUGCUAUGUGUAAAACCUUUUGGGAUACUACAUGAUUCCAUAUGUUAUUUCAUAGUUUUGAAGUCUUCACUAUUAUUCUACAAUGUAGAAAAUGUCAAAAUAAAAACCCUUGAAUGAGUAGGUGC
Oncorhynchus tshawytscha (Chinook salmon) is the source of this 1211-nucleotide long non-coding RNA. NCBI's taxonomy places the organism in Eukaryota, Metazoa, Chordata, Actinopteri, Salmoniformes, Salmonidae. The record is from Ensembl.